Molecule: ribosomal RNA, 579 nt
Filed under: uncultured beta proteobacterium
Lineage: Bacteria; Pseudomonadati; Pseudomonadota; Betaproteobacteria
Description: bacterial SSU rRNA
Rfam family: Bacterial small subunit ribosomal RNA
Source: RNAcentral
GGCGAACGGGUGAGUACAACAUCGGAACGUAUCCUGAAGUGGGGGAUAGCCCGGCGAAAGCCGGAUUAAUACCGCAUGAUCUCUUAGGAGCAAAGCGGGGGAGCCGUAAGGUCCUCGCGCUAUUGGAGCGGCCGAUGCCGGAUUAGCUUGUUGGUGGGGUAAAGGCCUACCAAGGCAACGAUCCGUAGCUGGUCUGAGAGGAUGAUCAGCCACACUGGAACUGAGACACGGUCCAGACUCCUACGGGAGGCAGCAGUGGGGAAUUUUGGACAAUGGGGGCAACCCUGAUCCAGCCAUGCCGCGUGCGGGAAGAAGGCCUUCGGGUUGUAAACCGCUUUCAUACGGGACGAAAUGGUGCAGGUUAAUACCCUGUAUUGAUGACGGUACCGUAAGAAGAAGCACCGGCUAACUACGUGCCAGCAGCCGCGGUAAUACGUAGGGUGCGAGCGUUAAUCGGAAUUACUGGGCGUAAAGCGUGCGCAGGCGGCUCUUUAAGACAGGUGUGAAAUCCCCGGGCUUAACCUGGGAAUUGCGCUUGUGACUGGGGAGCUCGAGUGCGGCAGAGGGGGAUGGAAUUCC